AGAAGGAAAUCAGUUUAAAUCUGAUGCUAUACCCGUAACUGUAAUGUGGACGAUAUAAAUAACCACGACAUUUUUGUUGGAAGGAUUUAUAGAGAGUGAAGCAAAGCCAGGAUACUU
RNAcentral lists this non-coding RNA (117 nucleotides) under Vagococcus fluvialis. The record is from RNAcentral. Lineage: Bacteria; Bacillati; Bacillota; Bacilli; Lactobacillales; Enterococcaceae.